GACGAACGCUGGCGGCGUGCUUAACACAUGCAAGUCGAACGGAAAGGCCCUGCUUUUGUGGGGUGCUCGAGUGGCGAAAGGGUGAGUAACACGUGAGUAACCUGCCCUUGACUUUGGGAUAACUUCAGGAAACUGGGGCUAAUACCGGAUAGGAGCUCCUGCUGCAUGGUGGGGGUUGGAAAGUUUCGGCGGUUGAGGAUGGACUCGCGGCUUAUCAGCUUGUUGGUGGGGUAGUGGCUUACCAAGGCAUGGACGGGUAGCCGGCCUGAGAGGGUGACCGGCCACAUUGGGACUGAGAUACGGCCCGGACUCCUACGGGAGGCAGCAGUGGAGAACUUUGCACGAUGGGCGGAAGCCUGAUGCAGCAACGCCGCGUGCUGGAUGACGGCCUUCGGGUUGUAAACCGCUUUCGCCUGGGACGAAGCGUGAGUGACGGUAAUGGGUAAAGAAGCACCGGCUAACUACGUG
Molecule: ribosomal RNA, 468 nt
Filed under: uncultured bacterium
Lineage: Bacteria
Description: partial 16S ribosomal RNA
Rfam family: Bacterial small subunit ribosomal RNA
Source: RNAcentral